Non-coding RNA from Phrynosoma platyrhinos (Desert horned lizard), 70 nucleotides. The record is from the annotation of a GenBank genome assembly. NCBI's taxonomy places the organism in Eukaryota, Metazoa, Chordata, Lepidosauria, Squamata, Phrynosomatidae.
GCCAGCAUGGUGUAGUGGUUUCAUGUAGGACUACAGCUCUGGAAGCCAGGGUUCGAUUCCCAGCUUGGCC